UUUGAGCAUAUAAAUUACCUUGUCACUAUUUUUUUUUCUUUAUCAUGUAGGUAACAAGUCGAGAGAGCUUUCUCCUAAAGAGGGAGGGUAUGUAAAUGACAUAUUUUCCUUUCGAGCCAUAUGUAAAUUCCAGGUUAUUGGCAGCAACUUUGCCAACUUCACCAACCAAAGGGGCUAUGACUUUGGAAGAUUCUUCGCGAGCAAGUGGCCCUAUUCGAGAAAAAAUCAUCUUUAAGAGGGAGGGUAUGAUACGAACCUGAUCGCAUCAUGUUUUGACACAA
This 281-nucleotide long non-coding RNA is filed under the name Gossypium barbadense (sea-island cotton). Its description in RNAcentral is "long non-coding RNA (GBAR_LNC014470)". Lineage: Eukaryota; Viridiplantae; Streptophyta; Magnoliopsida; Malvales; Malvaceae. The record is from RNAcentral.